RNAcentral lists this non-coding RNA (23 nucleotides) under Canis lupus familiaris (dog). RNAcentral also lists the same sequence under 2 other names. Lineage: Eukaryota; Metazoa; Chordata; Mammalia; Carnivora; Canidae. The record is from RNAcentral.
CAGCAGCACACUGUGGUUUGUAC